Molecule: ribosomal RNA, 429 nt
Filed under: bacterium
Lineage: Bacteria
Description: partial 16S ribosomal RNA
Rfam family: Bacterial small subunit ribosomal RNA
Source: RNAcentral
UAGGGAAUCUUCCACAAUGGACGCAAGUCUGAUGGAGCAACGCCGCGUGAGUGAAGAAGGUUUUCGGAUCGUAUAGCUCUGUUGUUGGUGAAGAAGGAUAGAGGCAGUAACUGGUCUUUAUUUGACGGUAAUCAACCAGAAAGUCACGGCUAACUACGUGCCAGCAGCCGCGGUAAUACGUAGGUGGCAAGCGUUGUCCGGAUUUAUUGGGCGUAAAGCGAGCGCAGGCGGAAUGAUAAGUCUGAUGUGAAAGCCCACGGCUCAACCGUGGAACUGCAUCGGAAACUGUCAUUCUUGAGUGCAGAAGAGGAGAGUGGAAUUCCAUGUGUAGCGGUGGAAUGCGUAGAUAUAUGGAAGAACACCAGUGGCGAAGGCGGCUCUCUGGUCUGCAACUGACGCUGAGGCUCGAAAGCAUGGGUAGCGAACAGG